RNAcentral lists this ribosomal RNA (788 nucleotides) under uncultured Pelagibacteraceae bacterium. RNAcentral's name for it is "bacterial SSU rRNA". It matches the Rfam family "Bacterial small subunit ribosomal RNA", at positions 44 to 880 of the family's 1533-position model. Lineage: Bacteria; Pseudomonadati; Pseudomonadota; Alphaproteobacteria; Candidatus Pelagibacterales; Candidatus Pelagibacteraceae. The record is from RNAcentral.
ACGCCUUAUACAUGCAAGUCGAACGGAGUAGCAAUACUCAGUGGCAGACGGGUGAGUAACAUGUGGGAAUCUUCCCUUUGGUGAGGAAUAACACGAGGAAACUUGUGCUAAUACCUCAUAAGUCUUUACGGAGAAAGCUUUAUGCGCCGAAGGAUGAGCCCGCACUUGAUUAGUUUGUUGGUGGGGUAAUGGCCUACCAAGACUGUGAUCAAUAGCUGAUCUGAGAGGAUGAUCAGCCACAUUGGGACUGAGACACGGCCCAAACUCCUACGGGAGGCAGCAGUAAGGAAUCUUGCACAAUGGAGGAAACUCUGAUGCAGCGAUGCCGCGUGAGUGAAGAAGGCCUUUGGGUUGUAAAGCUCUUUCGUCGGGGAAGAAAAUGACUGUACCCGAAUAAGAAGGUCCGGCUAACUUCGUGCCAGCAGCCGCGGUAAUACGAAGGGACCUAGCGUAGUUCGGAAUUACUGGGCUUAAAGAGUUCGUAGGUUGUUAAAAAAGUUGGUGGUGAAAUCCCAGAGCUUAACUCUGGAACGGCCAUCAAAACUUUUUAGCUAGAGUUUGAUAGAGGAAAGCAGAAUUUCUAGUGUAGAGGUGAAAUUCGUAGAUAUUAGAAAGAAUACCAAUUGCGAAGGCAGCUUUCUGGAUCAUUACUGACACUGAGGAACGAAAGCAUGGGUAGCGAAGAGGAUUAGAUACCCUCGUAGUCCAUGCCGUAAACGAUGUGUGUUAGACGUUGGGAAUUUAUUUUCAGUGUCGCAGCGAAAGCAUUAAACACACCGCCUGGGGAG